UAGGGAAUAUUGCUUAAUGUGCGAAAGCGCGAAGCAGCAACGCCGCGUGUGCGAUGAAGGCCUUCGGGUCGUAAAGCACUUUUUAGAGGGAUGAGAAAGGACAGUACCUCUAGAAUAAGCCUCGGCUAACUACGUGCCAGCAGCCGCGGUAAAACGUAGGAGGCGAGCGUUAUCCGGAAUUACUGGGCGUAAAGCGCGUGCAGGCGGUUCGGUUAGUUGGAUGUGAAAGCUCCUGGCUUAACUGGGAGAGGUCGUUCAAUACUGCCGGACUUGAGAGUGGUAGAGGGAGAUGGAAUUCCGCAUGUAGUGGUGAAAUGCGUAGAUAUGCGGAGGAACACCAGUGGCGAAAGCGGUCUCCUGGCCCACUUCUGACGCUCAGACGCGAAAGCUAGGGUAGCAA
Molecule: ribosomal RNA, 400 nt
Filed under: uncultured bacterium
Lineage: Bacteria
Description: bacterial SSU rRNA
Rfam family: Bacterial small subunit ribosomal RNA
Source: RNAcentral